AGAACAGGGAUUCUGCUGUAGGGCAAUUUAAAAGUGACUGUUGUUUUUUCUUUGUAUUUUUAUCCCUGAAAAGUUCAACUCUAAUUUUCCUUUUUCAAACUCCAUGUCUUCACCCCAGCUACUCUCCGUGGGCCGUAGUUAGUUGCAUUGAGUCUAGAAAGAACUCCUGGCCAUGUUGUUCCCUCCUCGUGAUAACUCCGCAGUGGAGAUGGAUUCCGUCCAAGACACCGACGUAGCUCUGCUGAACGAUCAGCGCCGCAGUCCAGGCGUUACCUUCCGCUGUGGCAUUUCUCUCGGUGCCUAACAUUCGCUAACGUUCACUGCUGAUGCAGCCGGGGCCUCUCCAACUUAUGGCGUUUACAACAGAAACUACUACAGAAGAGCUCAAGGGAGGAGCUUGUGCCUGCAAAGCUGGACUCUUAGACACAGGGGCCAUUCUGCACGUGUGUGAUGUGUGUGUGAUGUAUGUCUGUGUGCAUGCGUGCGGUAUGCGUGUUUUUCGAUGGAGGAACGGGGGAGUAGAGAGACAAGGAGCAAGAGGGGUGAGAACCUUUGCAAGAAGGAUCUGCGAAUCAUAAAAUGCAUAGAAUGUAAGCUCCUUGUGAUUAAUGAUCUGCACUAAUUUGGAUAGCAGGCAUGGUAAAGGUCAUUGACAAUUGUUGCUGGUUUCAGCAUGAAUGCCUAAGCGGGAUGUAUUCUUGAACAAUCAAAAUUAAGUCAUUCACGGAAAAGAAGUGCCCACAAUUCAUUU
RNAcentral lists this long non-coding RNA (751 nucleotides) under Equus caballus (horse). Its description in RNAcentral is "lncRNA (ENSECAG00000028773.2)". The record is from RNAcentral. Lineage: Eukaryota; Metazoa; Chordata; Mammalia; Perissodactyla; Equidae.